AAGUCAGAUGUGAAAGCCUUCUGUUCAACGGAAGAAUUGCAUCUGAAACUGCGAGUCUUGAGUGUAGGAGGGGAGAAUGGAACUUCUGGUGGAGCGGUGAAAUGCGUAGAUAUCAGAAGGAACGCCGGCGGCGAAAGCGAUUCUCUGGCCUAUUACUGACACUCAGUGUGCGAAAGCUAGGGGAGCAAACGGGAUUAGAUACCCCGGUAGUCCUAGCCGUAAACGAUGGGCACUAAGUAGAGGGAAUUACCGAUGUUCUCUCUGCCGUAGCUAACGCAUUAAGUGCCCCGCCUGGGGAGUACGGCCGCAAGGCUAAAACUCAAAAGAAUUGACGGGGGCUCGCACAAGCGGUGGAGCAUGUGGCUUAAUUCGAUGCAACGCGAAAAACCUUACCGGGGCUUGACAUGGUAGAAGUAGGAACCCGAAAGGGUAACGAACGGUAUCCAGUCCGUAGCUAUUACAGGUGUUGCAUGGCUGUCGUCAGCUCGUGUCGUGAGACGUUGGGUUAAGUCCCCUAACGAGCGAAACCCUUAUUUUUAGUUACCAGCGGGUUAUGCCGGGUACUCUAGAAAGACUGCCGUCGUCAAGACGGAGGAAGGUGGGGAUGACGUCAAGUCAUCAUGGCCCUUAUGCCCCGGGCUGCACACGUGCUACAAUGGUCGGUACAAACGGAAGCGAAGCCGAGAGGUGAAGCGAAUCCAAGC
This 704-nucleotide ribosomal RNA is filed under the name uncultured Planctomycetota bacterium. RNAcentral describes it as "bacterial SSU rRNA". It matches the Rfam family "Bacterial small subunit ribosomal RNA", at positions 585 to 1278 of the family's 1533-position model. Lineage: Bacteria; Pseudomonadati; Planctomycetota. The record is from RNAcentral.